GGCAGUUGGGUGACAUCCCACCCUUUCUGCAAUAGCCCAUCCAGCCCCAUUACACCUAUCAUUUACCUAUUACAUCACAACCCCUACCUCAUCUUCUCCCAUUGCUGUUCAGACCCUCCACCUUUUUCCUUCUGAGUGGGUCUCUUAGAACAACCAUGACCUGGCUCCAAUGCAACAGAAUUUGGGAAGACUUUUUAUGGACCACCAUCUAAGGACCUGGGCCUGGUGUAGUACCUCAAUCCAAUUCUGAGAAUUCCAUUUGCCCUGAGACAAUGAACCUCACAUUAUAAAUGAUGGAGAAAAAAUAUCUAAGGAAGAAUUGAUACUUGAAAGGAUUAUCUUCCUCUAUUCUGCAUUUAUCUUCUAUGUGCCCAAGUUACUUGAGAGUUGUCUUCCUCAUUAGAAAGUCCAUUUUCUACCUUGGAAGCAAUCCUUCCUUUUUUGCUUUUCAUUGCAUCCCUAACCUACAGCAUAAAGUCACAAACAAAGCAAUAUCCGGUGACCAAUAAAUUUACCUCCUUCUUCAUAUGCUGCUAUCCUUAGACAUGCCAGAGAAGGCAGGACCACCUAAAGACAUUUUGGACACAGACUUCUCGACACUAGAGAAUUCAAGAGAUGAAAGGGACCUUAGAGAUCAUUGAUUCUGUGUCUCUGCCUAAUGGAUUCAGCCUCUGUGCAGCAGUGAUGCCAGGGUAAAUUGUCUCAAACUCAUUAACAUUUAAUUUUUUUAUGUAAUCUUCAUUUUACAUGGGAUGAGGUUGGGUUUCACAAUGGCUAGCCUUUAUUUUCACCUCUGCUUUCCAAGGAACAAUCUUGAAUGAUUCCGUUAGCUAUACAGAGGCAGGUCUAGACUUCAAAAAUCACCAUUUGGGGGGCAGGGGGUCUAAAGUCUCAUAGAUUUAGAUCUGGGAAAGAGUAGAGGUUAUCUAGUCCAGUGCUCUCAUUUUCCAUGUGAGAAAGUUGGUUCCGUGACUUGACCAGUGUCACACAGGUAAUAAGUAUCAGAGGUGGAAUUUGAAUCCAGUUCUUCUUUACUACAAGAAUAGUGCUCAGUAAACACUGUCACACAGCUUCUUAGUGUGCCCCAGGACGACUUUGUAACAGAUUUCAAACAAAACUAUAGUGAUUAAAAAAAAAAAAAGAUGGUAUCACUUCUUACCACUAGAUGGCAAAAGAUGACUUAGGAAUGGGCACCAACCUAGACUCCUCUCCAGCAAGAGGAUAGCAUUGUCCCCUCAGGUCCAAACUAGAUCUGCUUACCUCAUCCAUGGAAGACUUUUUACAGUCAUCGUCAUCGUCAUCAUCAUCAUCACUCUCCAUAUCUGCUUCUCCUGUAAGGUUUUAAUUACAGAACAACAAAUUACACGUUAGAAACCUUCAAAAAUUACAGGGAUAAUGUAAUAGGAUUUACUUUGGUUUUGAUUUGUUCCUGAAUUCAUUAUAGAGCCACAGGGGUUUUAUCUCUGACUAGAAUAUAAAUUAAUAUAAAUAUAUAUGUACUUAUAUAAAUACAAAUACAAUUCCUAAAGGCUUAGUUAUAGGCAUUUUCAAUCAUGUGACUUUUCUAAAUGUUAGGAUGAAUUUUGUGAACUUACUAGCAAGACCAGUUAUCAGAACAUGAAUAUUAAGGUCCUGGAAAAAUAGUGUAAGGAAUCCCAAAGAGCAGGAUAAAUCGAGGCUGCUAAGGGAAAUUAAAGGAAAUAAGAGUUUAAUUUCUUUUUAAGAAAGCUAUAUUGAGAGGGAAAAAAUAUCAAAGAAGGAAUAGGACCUAUAUUGGUCCCAAAUGACAAGAGAGAAGACCCAGCUGCUCACUCCUUAUUUUGUUUUUGUUUUCUCUUCCAAACCUUUGCCCUGGAAAGGACACCACAAAAAUUACUUGAUGGGGAUUUGGAGCCCAAGAUAAAUAGGAGAGAGUAAGAGAGCCCUGAGUUCCUGUGGUACUCCAUGGGGGAGACAGGGAUAGACAACAAUUGUUCUGAAAAGUAUCUGGGUGUUUUAGGGGACUGCAAGAUUAAUAGGAACUGGGAUGUGGGAUGUUAAAUAAAUAAAUAAAU
This is a long non-coding RNA of Monodelphis domestica (gray short-tailed opossum), 2054 nucleotides long. RefSeq lists it as uncharacterized. Lineage: Eukaryota; Metazoa; Chordata; Mammalia; Didelphimorphia; Didelphidae. The record is from RefSeq and is a predicted model, not a curated record.